UCACUACCAGGAAUUUUAAUGGUUAAAAAAAUUAUUUUCUUUUUGCGAAAUAUUCAUGGUUCUUCAACACUCUCUAGACACAACAGCAAGGCUCCCUGGCCCCAGUACUGCAAAACAAACCAAAAAAAAAGUACAGGUCCUUAGUCAGCCCUCAAACACCUCAAGAAGAGGUAUAUAAUUCCAUCAUGCAUCAUACCUCUGUGCCUGUUACCUUCACAAAAGGCAACAAAGAACUAUAGUCAUUCUUCCCUCUAUUCUAGUCCCUCAGGCAGGGAAUAGGUUGGGUUUUACAUCCAUGUGCAGUAUUAUAAUUUUAUGCGGAAGCAGAGCAGACAAGAGAUUGUCAGGUCUGAAAUAAAGCAAAAUUCUAUAUGCCUUAACAGUGGGCCCCCUAAAUACACAGUCAAUAUUGUCCUCAUAUUAAGGUCAUUUCUUUCACACAGACAUUGAAGGUACUAAUCUACUCUGAAUGUCAGCUACAUUCUUGCAAAAAAAAAAAAAAAAAAAAAGGAAAGGACAUUGAAUGAGAAAAUGCAAGAAGUGUAUGUUGCAUAGAGCCUAAAUCUUAACUGAAGUCCUUCUGUUUUGAGGUACUUGAAUCACAUUAUGUACACCAUUCAAUACGAAACUCCUAAGUAAAAUAACAGGAUACCAUUUUCAAAAUCUUAAAGCAACAAACUACUGAUGACUAGAAUUAGAAAAGCAUGCUUCCAGAAAGGUGACUAAAUACACCCCCCCAACACAAAGGGGCAACGGUCAAAGACAAGACUGGAAUUGGGCCUUGCGAGCUCUGCCUGGCAACCUUGGCUGUGGAGGCCACAGUGGACAGAGUUACCCACUCUCUUCUGGGCUUGUUCCCACCAUCUGUGGGGUGGGUGUAUAGGGCUGGGGCUAAGCCAGCUUCAGAAGCCCCCCAACCACCACCACACCAUCAAGUCUCUCAAGUGGGACUGCUGUGCUGUGGCACGCACACCCACACACAAGUUGCCAACAGUUUGGAAGUUAGCCCCAGUUUCCAAAUAUGUCAACCCAAAAGCCAUUCAGGUAAAUAUAAGUGGGAGCCACUACAAAGUGGGACUUUAUCAGGCAGAUACAGAGAACCAAAAAAUGAAGUUGCUGAAAGCUGCUGUGGAGAUUUAAGUCUUUUGUUUUUAACGGAGGAAGAUAAUGAGGCCCAGGAACACAGCUUCCUAGAGUAAGACAGUGUUCCGUCCUGGCCUCCAGGAUGUUCAACACCUAUCCCAAGCUUCUGAGCAUUCUGUCCUCACUGGCUUCUCUCAGUGCUAUUUCCAAAUAAUCUAGAUUGCAAGUUAUCACAGGCCACAUUCCUGAAAAAACACAGAGCAAUCCUGCUGACCCACUUCAGGGAAGCCCUUUCAUAACAAAGUUACCCAAAUCUUCUGGAGGGGUUUAAUGAGCCCAGGUUAUAUAUAUUUAGUGAGUUUCAAACACUCGCCAGGCACUUUGAAACACAGUUCCUGAAUGUAGGUGUUAACUGUAAGGCUGUGAAGGGCAAUGAUCAAAGACAAAAGCACUUGCUUUCAUGAUUUAAAUAAGACAUCCUAACCAGAUUUUCUAAAUCACUAUAUACUUCAAUGGAUACCAAGCACUGAGGUGGGUCCCCUAGGGCAGGGGUCCCCACCUGCUGGCUGCGGAGGGGUCAGUGGCCCAUUAGGAACCAGGCCGCACAGCAGGAGGUGAGCAGUAGGCGAGCAUUCCCGCCUGAGCUCCACCUCCUGUCAGAUUAGCAGCAGCAUUAGUUUAUCAGAGAAGCCGGAACCCUGUUGUAAACUGAGUAUGCAAGGGAUGUAGGUUGCCAGCUCCUUAGGACAAUCUAAUGCCUGAUGAUCUGAGGUGGAACAGUUUCAUCCUGAAACCAUCCUCUACCUCCUUCUAUGGAAAAACUGUCUUCCACAAAACUAGUCCCUGGUGCUAAAAAGGUUGUGGACUGCUGCCCUAGGGCACUGGCUCUCAAACCUGACUGCUCGUUAGAAUCCCCUCAGAAUCUUUAAAAAAUAGUGAUGCCUGGGCCCCACCCCCAGAGAUUUUGAUUUCAUGAGGGAUAUGGCCUGGGCAUUAGUUUUUUAAAUACUGAUGGUGAGUCUAAUAUACAACAGUUUGAGAACCACUGCUGUAAGAAACAAACAGAAACAUAAAAAGUGGAAACAACUCAAAUGAUCAUCAACUGGAUAAAUAAAAUGUGGUAUAGCCAUACAAUGGAAUAGUAUGCAGCCAUAAAAAGGAAUGACGCUAUUGAUAUACGUUGCAACAUUUUUAAACCUUGAAAACAUAUUGCUGUGAAAGAAGCCAGCAACAGAAGGAUAAAUACUGUAUGAUUCCAUUUACAUGCUAUUCCAUUUACAUGAUAUGUCCAGAAUAGGCAAAUCCAUAGGUACAGAAAAUAACUGAGUAGUUACCAGGGGCCAGGAGAGUUGAGGGGAAAUGGGAAGUGACUGCUAAUGGAUAUGGGGUUUCUUUUGAGGGUGUUGAAAAUUGAUUACAGUGAUGGUUGCAUAACUCUAUGAAUAAACUACUAAAUUCAUAGGGUUGCAUAACCCUGAAUUAGAUUAAAUGGGUAAAUUGUAAGGUACGUAAAUUGUAUCUUACUUUAAAAUACAUAUAUAUCUAUAAAUUCUAUCUACUAUAGAGGAAAAAAAAACAGAUACAUAAGUAAGACAAGUAUCAACAGAGAUUUAAAAUGCCAUUAGAGAGGAUCACCUAAGUAAUACAGAAGGUAAACACUAUAAACUCAGAGGAGGCAUCAAAGCCUAAGUGAUCCAUAUUUUUCUUUUCUUACUCAUUUUUCUUCUCUGAUUUGAAAAAGCAAUAGAGUUCAGAGCUUGUCAGUGUACAGCUGAUAAUACAGGCCCUAAAGUCUCAGUUCUCACCUUAUUUGGAAUGGCUAUUUAGCAUUGUCUUAGAAUUAAAAACAAAUAUUCAGAAUACAGGCUGUUGAUGGACUGUAAUGACUCUCAAGAGUCAAUUAUCAACAGAGCCUUUGAAAGAUGGACUUGGAGGUCAGGCGCAGUGGCUCACGCCUAUAAUCCCAGCACUUUCGGAGACCAAGGUGGGCACAUCACCUGAGGUCGGGAUCAGCCUGGCCAACAUAGUGAAACUCCAUCUCUACUAAAAAUACAAAAAUUAACCGGGCGUGGCGGCACACACUUGUAAUCCCAGCUACUUGGGAGGCUGAGGCAGGAGAAUCGCUUGAACUCGGGAGGUGGAGGGUGCAGUGAGCCCAGACUGUACCAAUGCACUCCAGCCUGGGUGACCGACUGAGACUCUGUCUCAAAAAAAAAAGACGAACUUGGUGCUGUAAGUCCUACUUAUGCCCUGGACUUGUCUUUACUAGUACCAGCAGUUUGGACCAAAUAAACUUACAUGCUCAAAUACACAAAAAGACUUUUAAAUACCAGGAUUUGCAACACACAGGUAUUAUAGUACAUAUGCCGUAAAAACGAAUGAUUAAACGUGCCUCCCCUACUCAAAGUUCUUAAUAUACUUAAUAAUCAUAGUUAAGAGUUAUUUAUUAUGGCAGAAACUGACACACAGAAGGCUCAAACUUUAGGUAGCACAGGAUUUUGUUUAACAGUCUUGUUUUCAUGUCUAGGGUAUAGUCUGGUACAAGAAAUCCAUCUAGGCCAGGCGCGGUGGCUUAAGCUUGUAAUCCCAGCACUUUGGGAGGCUGAGGCAGGCGGAUCAUGAGGUCAGGAGAUCGAGAUCAUCCUGGCUAACACAGUGAAACCCCAUCUCUACUAAAAAUACAAAAAAUUAGCCAGGCGUGGUGGCGGGUGCCUGUAGUACCAGCUACUCGGGAGGCUGGGGCAGGAGAAUGGCGUGAACCCGGGAGGUGGAGCUUGCAGUGAGCGGAGAUCAUGCCACUGCACUCCAGCCUGGGCGACAGAGCAAGACUGCGUCUCAAAAAAAAAAGCCAUCUGUAUUUCUCCAAGUUUCUGAAUGUUAAUAUUUAAUAUUAUACACUUGAACAUAUUUUUGCUUUCAUUUACAGAAAACAUACCAUUAGCAAUUGAAUAAAUCUUGGCCUAUACCUUAAAGCCCUUUUAAUAAAUGUUUGUUGGCGCUUAUUUAAAAGCAGGUAGCAGUGAAAUUUCAAUAGCUCCUAGAAAUUAGAUGAUCAAAGAAUAAACUCUAUUCUCUAUUUGUGGCAAACUUAUAAUGAAUAUACAUUUCUACAGUCAGAGAUGAAGACAAGCAGGUUAAAAAUGACAUCUAGUAAACUUGUCCUCCUCUACCCUGCUGUGCAACAUAUUUCAGUCAACUUUCAGAAAGUGGCUGGACCAAGCAUUUAAAUGCCCUGAGGUUGACCUGGACCAACUUUUAGGCAAAUCAUCCAUCAGAUCCUAUAAGUCCUGCAGCACACUUAAUUCAGACAAAUAAGACAAUAAUUCCAAAAACAACUUAACAAUAAGGACUAAGAAAGUGUUUAAUUUUGAGAUGUACUAUUCUCAAAGACCCAAGUAAGCUUCAACUAGAUAAGAGUUGAGCCCUUAUGCUUGCUAUAGUUCAGAAGUGCCAAAACAUGAGAUUAGGGUUGAAUUUGCGCCAUCAGCUUUCUGCUAGCUGUUUUCAACUCAAAUUUUCCCCAUUCUGCUCUCUUUCCUUCAGCCUGGUUUAACCCUGUCUGUCACACUCUUCACCAUAUUCUUACUACCAAACUUAUUUUUGAGCACUACUUCAAAACAAAAAGAGCCAAUGGAACAGAAGAAAUGUACCAAGUAGCAAGGCAAACAAAGGCAAAGACUCCAGUAGCUAAGAGAUUUAAUUAAGAAAAAAGGCAGUUUCUGAAAAAUGUGAGGCAGAAUCUUGGACAUUGCCAAACAUCAGAAAUUUUUAAAACUAUUAUUAUAUUAAGAAACAGACUGGCGCAGUGGCUCACACCUGUAAUCCCAACACUUUGGGAGGCCGAGGCGGGUGGAUCACCUGAGGUCAGGAGUUCGAGACCAGCCCAGCCUGGCCAACAUGGUAAAACCCCAUCUCUACUAAAAAUACAAAAAUUAGCCGGGCAGUGGGUGCCUAUAAUCCCAGCUACUCGGGAGGCUGAAGCAGGAGAAUCACUUGAACCCGGGAAGUAGAGGCUGCAGUGAGCCAAGAUCAGGCCACUGCAUUCCAGCCUGGGCAACAGAACAAGACUUCAUCUCAAAAAAAAAAAAAAACAAAAAACAAAAAACAGUCCUGCCUUUCUAAAUUGAAUCCACCGAGGCCUCUGUGUCUUCCUUAAAAGGACCACAGUGGGUACCAUUGAUGGAUUGUAUUCACUCUCCCUGUAUUUAACAAGGUCCACCUCCCCACGUCACAUACAGUGAUUAAAUGUCUUGCUAAAUGGAAAAGCUGCAGACAUUAAUCUUUUAUAUUCCGGCCUCUCCUUCCCCCAGAAUAGGCAAAUCUCAACUUACCCACUUUUUAAAGUGUGAGCUUUUCUUCCUAUUUAGAGUUUAAGGAGUUUUGGUACAGUCUGGAAGUGGUGAUUAGAAGCCCCCAGGAGUCAAACCUGUUUGAAUGCUACCUUGGCCACUCAAUAGUAUGGUCACCUUAGCAGGUCCUGGCCUUUCUCUAUGCCUCUCUCCUAACCUUUCCUAACCUAAUGCCUGAUCUAACUAUUAUGCCUGGUUUUCCCAACCUGGAAACCAGGGAUAAUAAUAUUUCCCGUGAGGUUACUGUAAAAUUAUGCAUGUGAAGCAAUUAUGUCUGGCACCCAGGGACGUGCCCAGUAACUUAUCUAUUAUUAUCUUAGUGCCAAAUUCUUCCUGCAUACUGAAAAGUUAACCCAGGCUUGAGGAACAGUUAAGGAGGAAAUAUUGACACAAAACCCCCUUUAAAUGUCUUCAGUCAGGACAGAGGAAAUUCCCAGAAAAAAAAAUGUACUUGUUGGGUUCCUUUUUUUCAUGCAGCUUUGUUAAACAUGAUUUAUCCUCAAUAAAAACAAAUAUUAAGAAAAAUGAUGCAUUUGGCUUUCAACUUUUCCUGGUAAUCCUAAAGACAGAGUCAGUUUUCCCCCCAACAUUGCUUAUAAGAACCCAGGGCAAGAAAGAAAGAUUUCAAAAUGGCCCAAGUUAUUUUUAAUGCGUAAAAGACUGAUGUGAGUUAUGCAUUUAUCCUCCUACAUGCUGCUUCCACAACCUCUCAAGAGAUUUUUCACAUAUCUAAAAAGUCAAGUUGUUCUUUGCUUAACAUUCAUUCAGGAGAUGAGAGGCCUGUCCUAUUUUUCUUUUGUUUGACUUAAAAAUAAUCUCAUCGGUCUAUUUCAAUAUCAACUUCAUCCCUCAUCUAGGAAAGUGCUUUAUCUCUCCAAGACACCCUUGAAAAGAGUAAUGGAUGGUUCCUUCCACCUAAUGGAGAUACUGAAUCUAAGGCUCUCCUUACUGCCCUGUUUAUCAACACAUCCUCUGCACAGAAGGUGAAAAACUAUAUCCUACUACCACUUCACACCUGGAGAGUUUUUUUUGACAAAAGGUCAAGAAAAUGUUUGACUCUGUUCAAAUCUUUAUGGAUGACAACAAUCUAAUAUGAAUCAUAAACAAAAUCAAUUCUAAAUUU
Molecule: long non-coding RNA, 6555 nt
Filed under: Homo sapiens (human)
Lineage: Eukaryota; Metazoa; Chordata; Mammalia; Primates; Hominidae
Description: HSALNT0043772
Source: RNAcentral